AGCGAACGCUGGCGGCAGGCCUAACACAUGCAAGUCGAACGAACUCUUCGGAGUUAGUGGCGGACGGGUGAGUAACACGUGGGAACGUGCCUUUUGGUUCGGAAUAACUCAGGGAAACUUGUGCUAAUACCGAAUGUGCCCUUCGGGGGAAAGAUUUAUCGCCAUUAGAGCGGCCCGCGUCUGAUUAGCUAGUUGGUGAGGUAACGGCUCACCAAGGCGACGAUCAGUAGCUGGUCUGAGAGGAUGACCAGCCACACUGGGACUGAGACACGGCCCAGACUCCUACGGGAGGCAGCAGUGGGGAAUCUUGCGCAAUGGGCGAAAGCCUGACGCAGCCAUGCCGCGUGAAUGAUGAAGGUCUUAGGAUUGUAAAAUUCUUUCACCGGGGACGAUAAUGACGGUACCCGGAGAAGAAGCCCCGGCUAGCUUCGUG
Molecule: ribosomal RNA, 433 nt
Filed under: uncultured bacterium
Lineage: Bacteria
Description: partial 16S ribosomal RNA
Rfam family: Bacterial small subunit ribosomal RNA
Source: RNAcentral